UGGAUUGGUGCCUUCGGGAACUCUGACACAGGUGCUGCAUGGCUGUCGUCAGCUCGUGUCGUGAGAUGUUCGGGUUAAGUCCCGUAACGAGUCGCAACCCUUGUCCUUAGUUACCAGCACGUUAUGGUGGGCACUCUAAGGAGACUGCCGGUGACAAACCGGAGGAAGUGGGGACGACGUCAAGUCAUCAUGGCCCUUACGGCCUGGGCUACACACGUGCUACAAUAGGUCGGUACAAAGGGUUGCCAAGCCGCGAGGUGGAGCUAAUCCCAUAAAACCGAUCGUAGUCCGGAUCGCAGUCUGCAACUCGACUGCGUGAAGUCGGAAUCGCUAGUAAUCGUGAAUCAGAAUGUCACGGUGAAUACGUUCCCGGGCCUU
Molecule: ribosomal RNA, 378 nt
Filed under: uncultured Pseudomonas sp.
Lineage: Bacteria; Pseudomonadati; Pseudomonadota; Gammaproteobacteria; Pseudomonadales; Pseudomonadaceae
Description: bacterial SSU rRNA
Rfam family: Bacterial small subunit ribosomal RNA
Source: RNAcentral